This 253-nucleotide ribosomal RNA is filed under the name uncultured bacterium. RNAcentral's name for it is "partial 16S ribosomal RNA". It matches the Rfam family "Bacterial small subunit ribosomal RNA", at positions 524 to 776 of the family's 1533-position model. The record is from RNAcentral.
UACGUAGGAUGCAAGCGUUGUCCGGAAUUAUUGGGCGUAAAGAGCGCGCAGGCGGCCCAUCAAGUCAGAUGUGAAAUAACCAGGCUUAACCUGGUGGGGUCAUUUGAAACUGGCGGGCUAGAGUCCAGCAGAGGAUAGCGGAAUUCCCGGUGUAGUGGUGAAAUGCGUAGAUAUCGGGAGGAACACCAGUGGCGAAGGCGGCUCUCUGGGACGGUACUGACGCUGAGACGCGAAAGCGUGGGGAGCGAACAGG